RNAcentral lists this ribosomal RNA (447 nucleotides) under uncultured bacterium. Its description in RNAcentral is "bacterial SSU rRNA". It matches the Rfam family "Bacterial small subunit ribosomal RNA", at positions 355 to 825 of the family's 1533-position model. The record is from RNAcentral.
UCGGGAAUUUUGGGCAAUGGGCGAAAGCCUGACCCAGCAACGCCGCGUGAAGGAUGAAGUAUUUCGGUAUGUAAACUUCGUAAGAAUAGGAAGAAUAAAUGACGGUACUAUUUGUAAGGUCCGGCUAACUACGUGCCAGCAGCCGCGGUAAUACGUAGGGACCAAGCGUUGUUCGGAUUUACUGGGCGUAAAGGGCGCGUAGGCGGCGUGGUAAGUCAUCUGUGAAAUCUCCGAGCUUAACUCGGAACGGUCAGAUGAUACUGCUGUGCUAGAGUACAGAAGGGGCAAUCGGAAUUCUUGGUGUAGCGGUGAAAUGCGUAGAUAUCAAGAGGAACACCUGAGGUGAAGACGGGUUGCUGGGCUUGUAGUGACGCUGAGACGCGAAAGCGUGGGGAGCAAACAGGAUUAGAUACCCCUGUAGUCCCUGAGCGGGCUGGCAAGGCGCAU